Molecule: long non-coding RNA, 1439 nt
Filed under: Salvator merianae (Argentine black and white tegu)
Lineage: Eukaryota; Metazoa; Chordata; Lepidosauria; Squamata; Teiidae
Description: lncRNA (ENSSMRG00000004009.1)
Source: RNAcentral
AUGGAGGAGCAAGGCGACGCUCAGGAGCCCGAAGCGGGCCCAGCGCCGGCAGGAUCGGGACCCGCCAGGGCGGAGGAGUUCGACCUUUCUUUGGAUGAAAUCAUUAACCGUAACAAGAAAGGGCAGACGAAUGCAAGGGGGAACAGAUGGAGGCAGCCGUUCAAGAACUGGAACCCAGCCUAUGGCAACAGAAGACCUCGGUUCCGGAGCUGGAUGUCACGGAAUAUGCAAGGAGCCAACAGGUUUAGAACCGGAGGACCUCAAAAGCCGCAGUAUUUCAGGAAGCCGUUUUGGAAUGGUGUGGGCAGACCAAGGUGGAGAGCUGCUGCUGGAGCGAAGAGCGUCAGCCCACUAAAUCGCCCAGCUGCAGCUACGCAGGACAGGCCGGAAGGAACCUCUUUCCCCGGAAGCAGCGAAGGGGCAGCAGUGAAGACGCCACAGGGGCAGCCUGCAAGGGUGCAGCAGUUUAGAGGUCCAGGACCUUUGGGGCCAGCCCAAAGUAACAGGCCGUUCCGAAUAAAUCGAAGACCGGCUUUCUACCAGCGCCAAUUCAGAUCCAACUUUAAUGGAGGGCAAACCAAACUGAAUGCGAAAGGGAAGCCAUCGCGAAAUAGAAGGUGGCAGGUGCCAUCCGGUUCCGGGGCGGUCCUGACUAUUUCUGUGUCUAACCCUCAGGCAAGCCAGACAAGUGGGCCAGGCGCCAAGCGCCCUUUCCUGAAAGGGAGAAGCGCCCCGAUGAAGCCGGCCCCCCACCAGCCGAAAGGCGUGCCCCUGAGGUUCAACUUCCGGGCCAUGGCGAACCAGACCAGCUUGACGUUGAAUGAGAGGUUCUCCGGGCUGUGGAAGAGACGUCGUUUCGCAGCGCCAAGGAACCCGGGCCGGAUGGUCACCCUGCCUUGACGCCGCUGUUCAGACCAGCUCCGGAAAGGAGGAGGCCCAGAGCUUGAGCGGCGUUCUUCUUCUGUCGCGGAGACUUUGGGGAUCAACCCAGCGGCAAAAGGAGAGAUGCAUCGAAGGCGGCGUAACGGCGAUUCUUGUCUGUGCUCCGGGCAGAACUGUGGACAGCGGCUGUGACACUUUCCUGCCUCCCAAGGCCCUGCAAAUGUCCUUUAACCCAUGGCAAGCCUUGUGUUUUGAUUGACGGAGCCUGGCUCAGUGUCGAAGAGUCUGGAGACCUGCAGUGGCAGGAUGACCUCCAGCGUCUGUUCCUAGGAGAAACUUGGUGCAUCUUCAGAAACCUGCCGGGGUUUUGCUGCAAUGGGAAAGAAGAGGAAAGGAUGUGGUGCCUUUACCACCUCUCCAUUUGGGUUCAGAUUUGUGCUGGUUCCCCCCCACUCCCCCCCACCCAAAAAGCACUUCUACAGAAUUGUACCAAAGAUUUGUGUGUGUGUGUGUCCAGCAACAGCUCGAUGAAUAAAUCUGUUUUUAGAAGUUAAAGA